AUUGAACGCUGGCGGCAUGCUUUACACAUGCAAGUCGAACGGUAACAGGGUGCUUGCACCGCUGACGAGUGGCGAACGGGUGAGUAAUGCGUCGGAACGUGCCGAGUAGUGGGGGAUAACGCAGCGAAAGUUGUGCUAAUACCGCAUACGUACUGAGGUAGAAAGUGGGGGACCUUCGGGCCUCACGCUAUUCGAGCGGCCGACGUCUGAUUAGCUAGUAGGUGAGGUAAAGGCUCACCUAGGCGAAGAUCAGUAGCGGGUCUGAGAGGAUGAUCCGCAACACUGGGACUGAGAAACGGCCCAGACUCCUACGGGAGGCAGCAGUGGGGAAUUUUGGACAAUGGGCGAAAGCCUGAUCCAGCCAUGCCGCGUGUCUGAAGAAGGCCUUCGGGUUGUAAAGGACUUUUGUCAGGGAGGAAAUCCCUAGUGCUAAUAACACUGGGGGAUGACAGUACCUGAAGAAUAAGCACCGGCUAACUACGUGCCAGCAGCCGCCGUAA
Molecule: ribosomal RNA, 500 nt
Filed under: uncultured bacterium
Lineage: Bacteria
Description: partial 16S ribosomal RNA
Rfam family: Bacterial small subunit ribosomal RNA
Source: RNAcentral